AUAAUGGGUCAGCGACUUAUAUUCUGUAGCAAGGUUAACCGAAUAGGGGAGCCGAAGGGAAACCGAGUCUUAACUGGGCGUUAAGUUGCAGGGUAUAGACCCGAAACCCGGUGAUCUAGCCAUGGGCAGGUUGAAGGUUGGGUAACACUAACUGGAGGACCGAACCGACUAAUGUUGAAAAAUUAGCGGAUGACUUGUGGCUGGGGGUGAAAGGCCAAUCAAACCGGGAGAUAGCUGGUUCUCCCCGAAAGCUAUUUAGGUAGCGCCUCGUGAAUUCAUCUCCGGGGGUAGAGCACUGUUUCGGCAAGGGGGUCAUCCCGACUUACCAACCCGAUGCAAACUGCGAAUACCGGAGAAUGUUAUCACGGGAGACACACGGCGGGUGCUAACGUCCGUCGUGAAGAGGGAAACAACCCAGACCGCCAGCUAAGGUCCCAAAGUCAUGGUUAAGUGGGAAACGAUGUGGGAAGGCCCAGACAGCCAGGAUGUUGGCUUAGAAGCAGCCAUCAUUUAAAGAAAGCGUAAUAGCUCACUGGUCGAGUCGGCCUGCGCGGAAGAUGUAACGGGGCUAAACCAUGCACCGAAGCUGCGGC
RNAcentral lists this ribosomal RNA (593 nucleotides) under Escherichia coli. Its description in RNAcentral is "partial 23S ribosomal RNA". It matches the Rfam family "Bacterial large subunit ribosomal RNA", at positions 612 to 1206 of the family's 2925-position model. Lineage: Bacteria; Pseudomonadati; Pseudomonadota; Gammaproteobacteria; Enterobacterales; Enterobacteriaceae. The record is from RNAcentral.